Molecule: long non-coding RNA, 1267 nt
Organism: Cyprinus carpio carpio
Lineage: Eukaryota; Metazoa; Chordata; Actinopteri; Cypriniformes; Cyprinidae
Source: Ensembl
UAAGUUCAUUUUUUUCUUUAUUAAUGUACACACAGCACUCCAUAUUGACAGAAAAACACAGAAUUGUUGACAUUUUUGCAGAUUUAUUAAAAAAGAAAAACUGAAAUAUCACAUGGUCCUAAGUAUUCAGACCCUUUGCUGUGACACUCGUAUAUUUAACUCAGGUGCUGUCCAUUUCUUCUGAUCAUCCUUGAGAUGGUUCUACACCUUCAUUUGAGUCCAGCUGUGUUUGAUUAUACUGAUUGGACUUGAUUAGGAAAGCCACACACCUGUCUAUAUAAGACCUUACAGCUCACAGUGCAUGUCAGAGCAAAUGAGAAUCAUGAAGUCAAGGGAACUGCCUGAAGAGCUCAGAGACAGAAUUGUGGCAAGCACAGAUCUGGCCAAGGUUACAAAAAAAUUUCUGCUGUACUUAAGUUUCCUAAGAGCACAGUGGCCUCCAUAAUCCUUAAAUGGAAGACGUUUGGGAUGACCAGAACCCUUCCUAGAGCUGGCCGUCUGGCCAAACUGAGCUAUCGGGGGAGAAGAGCCUUGGUGAGAGAGGUAAAGAAGAACCCAAAGAUCACUGUGGCUGAGCUCCAGAGAUGCAGUCGGGAGAUGGGAGAAAGAUCCCCAAGAUUCUCAUUUGCUCUGACAUGCACUGUGAGCUGUAAGGUCUUAUAUAGACAGGUGUGUGGCUUUCCUAAUCAAGUCCAAUCAGUAUAAUCAAACACAGCUGGACUCAAAUGAAGGUGUAGAACCAUCUCAAGGAUGAUCAGAAGAAAUGGACAGCACCUGAGCUAAAUAUAUGAGUGUCACGGCAAUGGGUCUGAAUACUUAGGACCAUGUGAUAUUUCAGUUUUUCUUUUUUAAUAAAUCUGCAAAAAUGUCAACAAUUCUGUGUUUUUCUGUCAAUAUGGGGUGCUGUGUGUACAUUAAUAAAGAAAAAAAAUUAACUUAAAUGAUUUUAGCAAAUGGCUGCAAUAUAACAAAGAGUGAAAAAUUUAAGGGGGUCUGAAUACUUUCCGUACCCACUGUAUAUUGACUAAUGAGCUUUGACAUUUGUUAAUGAUUUAUUAAUGAAAGUUAUUAUAAAGUUUUACCCAAAUGUGUAAUUAGAAAUAUAUUAAAAUUAGGGUUUCAACAGAGUGGAAAAUUUCCUGAAUUUUUGGAAGCUUUCUUGGAUUUUUUUUUUUUUUUGAAAACUUUCAGAAAUUUUGGAAAUUGGGUUUAUGCAAAUGUACUGGAAAAUGCACACCUCAUUUGCAUCCCUAUUCAAAUACAAACA